This is a long non-coding RNA of Thalassophryne amazonica, 157 nucleotides long. RefSeq lists it as uncharacterized. The transcript has 3 exons. Lineage: Eukaryota; Metazoa; Chordata; Actinopteri; Batrachoidiformes; Batrachoididae. The record is from RefSeq and is a predicted model, not a curated record.
AGCGACAGGUCCUUUAAAAAAGUAUGGUCCUCCUCUGGAAUCAUGGUCAAUGUCCCCACACCUAAUAGAGGCAUGGCCCUCCUCUGGAAUCAUGGUCAAUGUCCCCACAGCUAAUAGAGGUGUGGUCCUCCUCUGGAAUCAUGGUCAAUGUCCCCAC